Molecule: long non-coding RNA, 1248 nt
Filed under: Pan troglodytes (chimpanzee)
Lineage: Eukaryota; Metazoa; Chordata; Mammalia; Primates; Hominidae
Description: long non-coding RNA NONPTRT006024
Source: RNAcentral
UUUGCAACACAAUCCACCUGAUGAGUCACUGAUACUGUUGGUGAGAGCCUAAAUAAUCAUCAUUCCAACUAGAAGAAUGCUCGUGCUUGCUCUCUGUUGCCAUAGAAACAGUGCAGCUCCAGUCUCCCUGUUGCUUUGGUAACCCACCCCCCUUUCCUCACAUCACUACUGCUGGGGUAUUUUGCUGCCAAGAUAAUGGUCUCUAUUAUGGAUUGAAUGUUAAUGGGCAGUCCUUUCCCCCAGACUACACCCAGCCCCUUCUGCAGCUCCACAUUUGAAGGCCUUGUCUAAGUGGCAUCUCAAUGAGAUGGUAAUAGAUACUUGAAUCAGCUGGAGAGGAGCUGUAGUGAUGGGGGUGGGAGGGGAUAGAAGAAGCAUUCAGCUUCUAAUCUUGAAAAGGGAGGACUGGGAGCUUGGAGAGGCAAAAAUGAGGAAAUCAUCCAUUAGAGUGCCUCAGCUGUGUAUGAAGUCCUAAAGCCAUUUCUUCCAGUCAAUAAAAGGGCAUGGAAGUCAUCCAACAGCUGCUGGAGGGACUGUGCAGAGUUACGACGGAGACAGUGACUCCUCCAAAGGGGUCUCGAGGGCAUCAAAAUAUCCUGGAAAGAGUACACCAACUUGGAGCGUUCCAGCUGCAGCUCAAUCCUCACCUUGCUGUGUGAACUUGGAGUAGACACUUUCCCUCCUGCAUGAUGAAUGAAUGUCGUAUAGUUGGAGAAAAACAGAUAAUGAAUGUGAAGGGAUGCAUUGUGCUGGAGUCUCAAUCAAGUGCCUGGAAGCUGAACGUGAAAAACAGUGCUGCCAGGAUUACAGAGAUACUGGCCAUAAAUGCAUUCGUGGGCUCUCAAGAAGCAUUAGGGAUGCCAUGAAGGAGGGGCAUUUUUACUUUGUGUCCUACCAAAUUCACUUAAUUAUACAUUGCAAUGAGGAAAGUGUGGGAAACAGCAAAUCUGAUCUUAGUGUGCCUUCGACUAAUCCAAGCUUAUUGUUUGUGAGUUACUAUUGUGAAAUGAUCCCCUGUGCAUAUAAUGCAGUUAGCUUCAAAUAAAAAUCUGUGGCUUCAGACCUCUCUUCCUUCUUUGCUUCUUUUCUUCUCCCUUUCUUCCUUUCUUUUCUUCUUGCUCCUUCUUUCCCUUCUUCCACUCUCUCCCUCCCUUCCUUCUUGCUUUUCUCCCUCAUCUCUCUCUGUCUUUUAAAUCUUUCCAUUUUUAUUUCUGCAUAUGAUGCUGGGCUUCCUUCCCUGUGGCUCCC